AUGGCACCUACGAAGAGACACGCUUACAAGGCACAGUUUACACUGCAAGCUUGUUAGUUACGCGGAGGAACAUGCAAAUCGAGCAGCCGCGAGAGAAUUCAAGACCCGAGUUGGAUAACGCUUGCAGAAGAAAUGAAAAUCGACCAUUUUCAAGGUCUGUCUUGGUGCUUUUGCCAUUUAUCCAUCUGGGCAAGGACUGCCGUGGCGUAGCAACUUCCGGUGGAUUACAAGGAAAAGCUGGCCAUCUUCCGCUCCUACUGCAGUAAAAAUAUUGCCGACAAACACAUCCAGCCCAACCACAUCACCAACAUGGACUAGGUGCCGCUCACUUUCUUUCGCUUUUGACAUCCCAGGGGACCACCACGGUAGCGAUACGCACAACGGGGCACGAGAAGUCAGCUUUUACUGUUGUGCUUGGUUGGCAUGGUAAUGUACAUAAACUGCCACCUAUGGUGAUUUUUAAGAGGAAGCAGCUGUCUAAAGAAAGGUUUCCAGCCGAAGUCAUCGUUAAGGCCAAUCAAAAGGGCUGGAUGGACGAGGAGAAAAUGAGAGAGUGGCUGAGUGAGGUGUAUACAAAGAGACCGGAUGGGUUUUUUCCACGCGUCACCGUCCCUGUUGAUCUGUGACUCCAUGCGCGCCCAUCUCACAGCCAUUGUGAAAAACCAAGAACUCGGAGCUUGCCAUCAUUCCGGGAUCCUUGACGAAGGAACUCCAACUGUUGAACAUCGGUGUAAACAGGGCGUUCAAAGUGAAGUUGCGAGUGGCGUGGGAGCGAUGGAUGACAGCUGACGAACACAGCUUGACUAAGACUGGGAGGCAACGCCGGAUUUCUGCUAUCAUUGUGCAGCUCUCAGAGGGGACUGGGACUACUUUGCUGGCAGAGCCAUUGCAGAGAGCUUGGUACAUGGCGCUCCACCACCAAACUUCCUUUCUCCAGUACUAUUUAGUCUUCUGGUCAAUGGUUCAGCAAAUCGAAAAAGUCCAAGAUAAAGCUGAAACCGAACUCAUGGGUAAAGUAAAAAAGUGUGUUCUCCCCCCCCCGUGUUCCUGAUCCACGUAAUUCCAGCCACCUGUCCACACCGCCGCCUGCCAACCCACCUUUCAUCAAACUUCAUCCUUUCACAUCUGCCUCCGACUGCUCUUGGAUCCAGCCACUCUCUAUUCGUGUCACAAGGCCCAUUUUAGAGAUUCUUCCAAAAGUUCAGACAACUUCUACGUCUAUUAAGAAAAGUGCUCCUUGCUGACCUCCUCCACCACGCCGCCAAGCCAUCCACCUGCUCACGCCACCGCCUGCCACACGUUCCCUGUCCCGACGAUCUGCCAAACCGCCCCAGGGAUCCACCUUGAUAUCCUCUUCAAUAAACCUUUCACCACAACCCUCACUGUCUCCGCUUGCUCCUGGGUCCAGAGAAAAGUUAUACUAGCGUAUUGUGACAUCAUGCUAGCAAUCAUUUCUUACCAAGCUCCUUUUUACAGUAAUUUGAACAUUAUACAAAGUAUUAUCCUUGACUUCUGUUUUUUAAAACCAGUUAUCCAUCAAUGUUUUGUGUAUAUGUAUUAAUAUAAUGAGAAUAACCAUUGAUAUGGUUUCAGUCAUAACGGCCCUCUUAGGGAAACCGUAACUACAAUGUGAGCCCAACCAAAGUGAGUUUGACACCCUUGCUUUAGACCUUAUGUAUUGCAAGCAUCAUUGAUUGUUGUUGCUGAUGAUCAGAAAAUGAUUGCGCUUGCGUGUGAUUUCUGACAUUUUCUUAAGUGGAUUGCCUUUGUGUAUGAAGAACAUAACUCUUGUUCUGAUCAUUAUUAUGAUUAUUAGCAGCAGCAUCAGCAUCAGGGGUGAAGGUCACGAGCAGAGGGGUUAUUGAGGGACUGGGUGACCCCAUGGUGGCGGUGAGGAGGUGGUGCUGGUCUGGGAAAACGAGGAGGAUGAGGAAGAUGUGGUGGUCUUAUUGGGGGAGAAGGAAGAGAAUGGAAGAGGAAGCAGCAAUAACCAGACAGAAAGAUGGAAAGAAAACUGACCACGGAGUGUGGCAGACAGCAACACUGAAGGAGAUGCAGGAAUUUCUCGC
Long non-coding RNA from Phycodurus eques (leafy seadragon), 2069 nucleotides. RefSeq lists it as uncharacterized. Lineage: Eukaryota; Metazoa; Chordata; Actinopteri; Syngnathiformes; Syngnathidae. The transcript is spliced from 6 exons. The record is from RefSeq and is a predicted model, not a curated record.